This 382-nucleotide long non-coding RNA is filed under the name Parus major (Great Tit). Its description in RNAcentral is "lncRNA (ENSPMJG00000011138.1)". Lineage: Eukaryota; Metazoa; Chordata; Aves; Passeriformes; Paridae. The record is from RNAcentral.
AUUUUUCAUUGCAAGUGGUGCAUACUAGAAAGUAAAUUUUAUUUUUUAAAUUUAGCACUUGUUUUCAUUAGCAGUCACUCAUAUGUCCCAUUAAAAUGUGGACUUAUUAUACUUAGAUGCUUCUUGUGAGAGGAUUUAUUUCAGUGUUUUCGGGAACUCAGAGUACCUGAGCAGGUGCAUUAGAAUCUGAUACGGAAGCAGUUGACCAGAGGGAUUGCUUUAAAUGCAGGCUGCCUGUCUGAGGAAUCAUCUCUGGAAUGGCUUCUGUGAAGGUAACUUGCUGUGUUUCUUCAUGUGGACAGAAUUCCCCAAAAUAGAGACAGAAGUCAGAACUGUGUGUCGAGAAAACAUUGCAAUGAUUGUGCUAAAGAGCUAAUUAUUU